UCUCGUUUCUAGCUGAGGUACCUUCCUUCAUCCUAAAAACAAUACAAUUCUAAAUUUAGACUGGAUAAAAAAUUUUAAAUUUAUUUAAAUCUCUACUACUAAGGGCCCGUUCGGAUCCACCCCCAAAUAGCAAAACGUCAAAUGGUAAAAUUUUUGCUCCUGUCACAUCAGAUGUUUGGACGCUAAUUAGAAGUAUUAAAUAUAGUUUAAUUAAAAAACUAAUUACAUAGAUGAGGACUAAAUGACGAGACGAAUCUAUUAAGCCUAAUUAAUCUAUAAUUAGCAAAAUUACGGUAGUAUUUGCCCUUUUGCACUUUGGGGUGUUUGGAUCCAAAAGUGCAAAAAAAAGUGCAAAAGAGCAAAAAUUUUGCACUUUCUGUUUCUCUUUCCCGUUCAUCCGAACGCAGCCUAAAAAGCACUUCCCGUGUUUCUGCCGGCAGAAUCACGGCCCGCCUCUCAGCCCCGCCCCGCGCUUCCCGCCCACGCGACUCCCGAUGGUUCCUCGCUCCCCACCCCGAUGACCUCACCCUUGCUCCGCCACGCCGCCCUCCCCCUCCCGCCGGCCUUCCUGAGACGGCCCGCAAUCCCACAGAAGAACACCCCACCGCCUCAGCUCCCAAUCCGAAGCCUCCCUCCACCGCCGCCACCAACCUCUAGGCUUGCGCAGGCCAAGUGGGGAGCAGAGCAAGGCGGGCGCGUGGCAGCAGCGGUCCUCCUGCUCACCGUCGUCGCGCCGAACUCCCCGUUUGCUCGAGCCGCUCGCCCCCGGAACACCGACAUCGCGACGCAGCCCUCCCCAUCGCGCCGCCGCUGCGCGCAGCCGCGCCGUCGCCUUAGCACACCCGUCCCCCCGCGCCGCCGCCGCCGCGAUGUCCAGCUGUCCCAGCCCUGUCGCGCUACCGCUACACCGUUGUCCCACCGACCCACGCCGACCGACGUUUCCUCUCCCAAUCACGGCCUCCCCCACCCGUCGUCGUCGACGCGUGACGCUGUGGCCGCAGGAUCUCCGCGCGCGGAGGCGGCAGCGCGGCGCCUCCGGCCUCCCCCGGCGCGAAUCCCGACUCCCUCCGCCCCGCCGUGAAUCCGCCGCCCUGCCCCGAUUCUGUGAAUCCCUCCUGUUCCCCUGCCUGCUCGCCCUGCUGCUCCUCCGCACCGUGCUUGACCCGGACCCCGACGCGGCCGCGCUGCUCCCCCUCCAUUUCCGGCAUGACGGCACCUUCAAGAUCCUCCAGGUGGCGGACAUGCUCUUCGGGAACGGCGCCGCAACAUGCUGCCUACGUGGCGCCGGACGGCGGCGGCGCGCACUGCUCGGACCUCAACACCACGCAGUUUCUGCGCCAGGUCAUCGAGGCGGAGAGGUCCGACCUCAUCGCCUUCACAAGUGCGGUUCUGUCUCCUCCUCCUCCUCCUCAAGAGCUGCACCUCCUCCUCCUCGGAGCUGCAGUUGUUGUGCUCCAAAGCUUGCAGCCUUGGCUAAGCAGCUGAGCUAGCCUUGCCGCACUCAUCUCACCUCGCUAGGUUGCACACACUAGGAUUGCAGGCGAGGUGGGGGAAUUCGAUUUGAGCAGCGCUGACCUCGUGAGUGGAUCGGAGGAGCCGAGUUUGGCCACCGCCGAGCUCGAUUAUGCGUGGAGGAGCUCAAUUUGGUGGUUGUCGAGCUCAACUCUGCACAGCGGAACUCGAUUUCGUGGUCCUCGAGCUCGGUCAAAUUGUGAGCUUGCUCCCGUGGGCGAGAUUGCAAGCAGGAUAUGUCCCGCUUCCGCCCAAUCACAUAUAGAUGCAGGCAUGGCCGUUGGUACUGCCCAUAUAUAGUAGUGGCAAUAUAUAACAAUCAGUUGACACAGAUGGGGAUGUCAAAGUGGCAUGAAGCAGCUUCAGUGGCGCAAAACCAUCUUCAUGGCAGCACAUAGCAGCGGUGGAGCUGGGUCAUCAUCAAGGCGGCGCUUAGCAGUCACCGCUGUGGAUCAGGCUGUCAUCAAGGCUGCACUGGGGAGCCGCAACAGCGGCUCUGAGCCAUCGCCCAAUAGCAAGCACAAGCAGCUGUCCAGCAGCAAGCUGCAACCUGCAAGCAUAAGCAGAGCUAUUGCAAUGGUGUUGUACAUAGACGCAGCAUUAAGGUGGAUAAGGAGAUGAAGGUGAAGCAGAUGGGGAAGGAGCAUGUGCCAAUAGCACAUCUGACUUGUGCCUAAAGGAUAGCAGGUUCGGAGUUCUCUUCUCUUCUUUUAAUCUGAUUAACCAUUUUGCUGAUGAAUCAUUUAAUAAUUAUAGGUACCAAUUGUGAAUUUCUAUCAGAUUAUCAUGAUAAUUGAAAUUCUAUAAUUUAUACUGCAAUUAAGGCGCAACAUAUUGCGAAACAUAAUAUAUAGGGUUAAUUUUUGAUAUAUUCUUUCUUUCUCAAUUACUUAGCAGUGCCUAAAUUAUAUCAAUGGUUGCAAGAUUGAUCAGCCACGUGCAACUAAAGAAAAGUCUGUUGCAUUUGGUACUCAUAAUUCUCUAACAUGUAGUGCUGAGGAUUUUCCUUUAAAUUCCAUAACUGUUAUUAGCUAUUUCUAUUUUCCAGCUGCAGAGUCAUGCUUUCAUAAUAGAUAAUUAACUGAGAAUGUACCAUGAAGUGCACAUAGGUAAUUUGGUCCUAUAUGAGCUUAUAUGCAGAUCGAUGCUCCAUUAUUUCACUAAAAGCAUUAUUUUAUGGUCUCAUAUUCCUACCAUCUGGAAAGUUGUACAAUGCGUCUUCAGAGCACUUCCAUUUCAAUGUAUUCUUUUUUACCCUUGUAUGUACAUGAUAUAGUUAUUUGUUAGAAAGAAGUGCAUGAAACGAAUUUGAUCUAAUUGCUAGAAGUCAACAAAAUUUGAAUGAUUAUAGUCUGAUUCUUCAACUUUCGGAGCACUAGCUUUUCAGAUAAAUCUGGGACUAUGGUAUGAAUAAACUACAUGGCAACACUAGCCUACAUGAACUUAUCUGAAUAUGUUUUAACUUCAAAAUUGAUUAUAUAAAAUGAUUCUUUAGGAUAGAUGUAGUAGAUUACUUUUCCUACAAGUUACAUGAUCCUAUUUUUUUCAUGAUGAUAAUCAAAUGGAUGAUUGGUCAAGUCAAGAUUUUUGCUUGGAAAGUCGAACAAUAGUUUACCAACAAAUACUAACAAAUGCUACUAUCACAUUUAGCAGCACAGCUUGUGCGGGUUAUGCGGUUAUCAAGUAGAUGAUUGUUUUCAUGCCUGCAUUAGCUGUCUGCAUACCACAACCCUUUGUUAUGCUACAAGGAACACUGCUUAUUACCAAGUAGGAGGAUAUGGUUCAUAUUGGUCCUGAGUGAUUGAUGCAUCUUACUGAUCAGUAUCAGGCUGAGCUAACUGCUAAUUUCCUCAUGCUUAUAUGGAGAAUUUGGAUUGUUAAAAAUAAUAUCUUGCACCGUCGGGUGCAAAAAUUUCGAUAGAUGGUUUUGUUGUCUUUCUAACAUGCUGUAUGGAAUCACUAUAUCAAAUCCACCAACUGUGAUUAAGCAGAAAAGUAGUGCAAUCUGAUUGGGACUGAAGCGCCAACUGUGAUAAAGCAGAAAAGCCAUGUUCAGAGAUGGAUUCCACAAGCUACGGAUACUUUCAGGAUUAAUGUUGCCGGCUGUGGGAAUCAUCAUUAGGGACCAUGAGGGGAAACUUAAACUAAUAGCUUGGAGAGGAUUCUAUUUCACUGCAGGGACCAAAGGAGCCUGAGGCUACUGCAUGAUGGAAGGGUAUUUGUUUGGACUAACGCUGGCAUGAUGUCCCCGUGGUUCUUGAAACAGAUUGUGCAAAAAUAGCAAGCAAGCUCCAAGCGACAUUGCUGGACAUAUCCUUAGUGCGCCCCUUGAGGAAAGGCGACAGCUAAAGCAUGAGUUAGAUUUUAUCUUUUUCUUCUAUCUUCCAGAGUGCGUGAGAACUCCUAUCUGUAAUGAUAUUUUCUUAACAUUAAUAAAUCUCUUAUUCUGCAAAAAA
Long non-coding RNA from Panicum hallii, 3968 nucleotides. RefSeq lists it as uncharacterized. The record is from RefSeq and is a predicted model, not a curated record. NCBI's taxonomy places the organism in Eukaryota, Viridiplantae, Streptophyta, Magnoliopsida, Poales, Poaceae. The transcript has 3 exons.